Molecule: long non-coding RNA, 1341 nt
Filed under: Equus caballus (horse)
Lineage: Eukaryota; Metazoa; Chordata; Mammalia; Perissodactyla; Equidae
Description: lncRNA (ENSECAG00000048125.1)
Source: RNAcentral
AAUGAAUAUGCAUGAACUGCCACAUGUAAUUUGGAUGGAUCUCACAAAUAUAAUAUUGGAUAAAAUGGCCAAACACAAAAGGUGCUACUAUGAUUCUAUUUAUAUGAAGUUCAAAACCUAGCAAGAUGCAUUUGUGCUGGCACCAGUAAGGAUAGUGGUUACCUUAGGAAAGGAAAUAGGGUGUUUAUUGGGAGGGAGCAUGAGAUGGGCAUUGAUGUUCUGGUAUUGUUCUCUUUCUUCAUCUGGGUGAUGUUUACACACGUAUGUUCAACUUUUGACAAUUCAUUCAGGAUAUAUGCUUUUUUCUGGAUUUAUAAUAAACUUCAAAAAGAAGUUCAAUAAUAUUAAAAGAUGUAUUUAAAGAAAUGGAAAAAAUACAGUAAAAAUUUAGGAGAAAUGUAUACAAAAGAAUCCUACAAUCUCAGUUUAGUGAUAAGUAAAUAAGUAAGUAAAUAUCAAAGAAUGUAAACAAUGAUGGAAGAAUGUACCAUAGAAUAUUAAUUUUUAAAAUAGCUUUAUUGAGAUAUAAUUGACGUACAAUGAACUGCUCAUAUUUCAAGUGUAUAACUUAAGUUUUGACACUCAUGCACACCUGUGAAACCAUCGCCACAAUCCUGCUAGUGAACAUAUCCAUCACGCCUCAGCUGAAAUUUCCUCGUGCCCUUCAUAAUCCCUCCAGCCCCUCUCCUCCCCUCCAGCCCUAUCCCCAAACCAGUCAUAACGGUUUCUGCCUCUAUAGUUUACCUUUUCUACAGUUUUAUAUAAUAGAAUCAUACUUUUGGCUUCUUCCACUCUGUGAUGAACUGAAUGUUUGUGAGCCCCCCCAAUUCAUAUGUUGAAGCCCCAAACCCUAAUGUGAUUGUAUUUGGAGGUGGAACAUUUUGGAGGUAAUUAGGUUUAGAUACAGUCAUGAAAGUGGGGCCUCCAUGCUGGGAUUAGUGUCCUUAUAGGAAGAGGAAGAGAGAUCAGAGUUUUCUCUCUUUCCCCACCGUAUGAGGACACAGCAAAAAGGCAGCUAUUUGCAUUGCCAGGGAGCAGGGUUCUUACCUGGAACCACACCUGCUGGCCCUUUGAUCUUGGACUUCUUAGCCUCCAGAACUAUCAGAAAUAAAUGUCUGUUGCUUAAGCCAUCCAGUCUAUGGCAUUUUGUUAAAGGAGCCCAAGCUAAGACACAGAAUGAUUAUUUUGAGAUUCAUCCUGUUGCUGCAUGUAUCAAUAAUUCUUUUCAUUUUACUACUAAGCAGUAUUCCAUUGUAUGGAUAUACCGCAGUCUUUAUUCAUUCCUCUCUUGGUGGACAUACAAAUGCAAAUUUUUUCUCUGGUGCAGUGAUUUUUAUUUUC